AGCGAACGCUGGCGGCAGGCUUAACACAUGCAAGUCGAGCGGGCGUAGCAAUACGUCAGCGGCAGACGGGUGAGUAACGCGUGGGAACAUACCUUUUGGUUCGGAACAACACAGGGAAACUUGUGCUAAUACCGGAUAAGCCCUUACGGGGAAAGAUUUAUCGCCGAAAGAUUGGCCCGCGUCUGAUUAGCUAGUUGGUGAGGUAACGGCUCACCAAGGCGACGAUCAGUAGCUGGCUGAGAGGAUGAUCAGCCACAUUGGGACUGAGACACGGCCCAAACUCCUACGGGAGGCAGCAGUGGGGAAUAUUGGACAAUGGGCGCAAGCCUGAUCCAGCCAUGCCGCGUGAGUGAUGAAGGCCCUAGGGUUGUAAAGCUCUUUGUGCGGGAAGAUAAUGACGGUA
RNAcentral lists this ribosomal RNA (403 nucleotides) under uncultured bacterium. RNAcentral's name for it is "bacterial SSU rRNA". It matches the Rfam family "Bacterial small subunit ribosomal RNA", at positions 29 to 477 of the family's 1533-position model. The record is from RNAcentral.